AGCAGCCGCGGUAAUUCCAGCUCCAAUAGCGUAUAUUAAAGUUGUUGCAGUUAAAAAGCUCGUAGUUGAAUUUCGGAAUCAGUACGCUGGUCAUGCCUCUGGUAUGUACUGGUGUCACUGGUUCCUCCCUUCUGAAGAACCAUCAUGCCAUUCACUUGGUGUGGUGAGGAAUCAGGACUGUUACUUUGAAAAAUUAGAGUGUUUAAAGCAGGCUCACGCUUGAAUACAUUAGCAUGGAAUAAUGAAAUAGGACGUUGAUCUUAUUUUGUUGGUUUCUAGGAUUGACGUAAUGAUUAAUAGGGAUAGUUGGGGGCAUUAGUAUUCAAUUGUCAGAGGUGAAAUUCUUGGAUUUAUUGAAGACUAACUACUGCGAAAGCAUUUGCCAAGGAUGUUUUCAUUAAUCAAGAACGGAAGUUAGGGGAUCGAAGACGAUCAGAUACCGUCGUAGUCUUAACCAUAAACUAUGCCGACUAGGGAUCGGAUGAUGUAUUUUUUAUGUA
This 500-nucleotide ribosomal RNA is filed under the name uncultured Glomus. Its description in RNAcentral is "SSU rRNA". It matches the Rfam family "Eukaryotic small subunit ribosomal RNA", at positions 569 to 1074 of the family's 1831-position model. The record is from RNAcentral. Lineage: Eukaryota; Fungi; Glomeromycota; Glomeromycetes; Glomerales; Glomeraceae.